This 21-nucleotide non-coding RNA is filed under the name Mus musculus (house mouse). The record is from RNAcentral. Lineage: Eukaryota; Metazoa; Chordata; Mammalia; Rodentia; Muridae.
UCCCCGGUUGCAUCCUGUUGC